GGGUGGCUGYUUGUUCUUCAUGGAACAUGUCUUGGAUGUUCCAGGUACGUGGAGAAGAACCUUCYAGAAGUUUCUUACUUCACAGAUUGGAAUAUGGCCUAGACUCUUGGGCAACUGUCACUGUGAGAGGGAGACAUGGCGGUACAUAAAGGAGGCAGAGYUUAGCAGUGUAAAUCUACGCUAUGUUUAUUUACCAACGGAUAACGUGCCAAGCCUCCUAUCCAAGUUUAUAUUWUACUUCAUUAGGCGAUUUAUGAUAGGUCAUGCCAAGAAGUGAUCGACUGUACAAAUGUUGUUGUUUAACUAAGGUGCUUUGAUAUUGUAGCUGCAGUAGAAGCACAAGCAACCCAAGCUCACUACAUUUAUAAGAGAAUGUAUGGGGAUUUAGAAUAUGCCGUAUUUUAUUUGGAAAAACGGAAAUAAUAGUUUGUCGUAGUCACUGUAUGCAGUUUUCGCCAGUUGACGAGUUUUAAUUUUCGUCGCGAAAAAGUUCCAUUAAAAGUAGAACUGCUUUUUACUCGUUCAACCGAAGCGGCUUGUGUUGCGAAUAAGUCUCGGGACGAAGAAAUGCACAAUGCUUUGCGCAUAAAAGCAUCGAAUCUCUGCUGUUGAAACAAACUAAAAUAAAGCCUCUCUUUUCCUGUUAUCUA
Long non-coding RNA from Actinia tenebrosa (Australian red waratah sea anemone), 650 nucleotides. NCBI's taxonomy places the organism in Eukaryota, Metazoa, Cnidaria, Anthozoa, Actiniaria, Actiniidae. The record is from RefSeq and is a predicted model, not a curated record.